RNAcentral lists this long non-coding RNA (1946 nucleotides) under Salmo salar (Atlantic salmon). RNAcentral describes it as "lncRNA (ENSSSAG00000120013.1)". Lineage: Eukaryota; Metazoa; Chordata; Actinopteri; Salmoniformes; Salmonidae. The record is from RNAcentral.
CUGAGAUGAUGACGUGGUUAGACAGUUGGACUAAAAUGCUAUUCUACUUUUACUCAUGUUGGAAGAACAGCUGUUAUUAAAGGUCUUGUAGAAAUAUCAAAAUGGAAGUAAAAGUUCAAAAUACUUUAUUGAUCCCACAAGGGACAAUUAUGUAGGCAGGAGUGCAAAAACAUCAAAUCAAUUUACAAGAACAUACAACAUAAUCCCAACUAAUCAUGAAACCCAGCAAGAUAAUCCCAACUAAUCAUGAAACCCAGCAACAUAAUCCCAACUAAUCAUGAAACACACCAACAUAAUCCCAACUAAUCAUGAAACCCAGCAGCCAACAUAAUCCCAACUAAUCAUGAAACCCAGCAACAUAAUCCCAACUAAUCAUGAAACCCAGCAGCCAACAUAAUCCCAACUAAUCAUGAAACCCAGCAACAUAAUCCCAACUAAUCAUGAAACCCAGCAACAUAAUCCCAACUAGUCAUGAAACCCAGCAACAUAAUCCCAACUAAUCAUGAAACCCAGCAACAUAAUCCCAACUAGUCAUGAAACCCUGAAACAUAAUCCCAACUAAUCAUGAAACCCAGCAGCCAACAUAAUCCCAACUAAUCAUGAAACCCAGCAACAUAAUCCCAACUAAUCAUGAAACCCAGCAACAUAAUCCCAACUAAUCAUGAAACCCAGCAACAUAAUCCCAACUAAUCAUGAAACCCUGCAACAUAAUCCCAACUAAUCAUGAAACCCUGCAAGAUAAUCGCAACUAAUCAUGAAACCCAGCAGCCAGAAGACCUUUUUAUUUCUUCUUAUAUUUCAGUUUGUUGUUCCAGUAACAGGACAAUAUUUGCAGUUGGAGCUGCCAACUUGUUUAGCUGUCUGGAUGGCAAUGCCAGCGUGCCAGUUUACUCCUUUUCUGUACUGAGAAGUGUCCAAAUUGCCCAUAGCAGGAGAUCAUGUCUACAACUCAAAAUGGCAUCCAAUUUGAAAAAAAAAAUGAAAAAAGUCAGUGUGGUGGUCUCUGAUAUAUCAAAUCAAAUGUUAUUGGUCACAUACACAUGGUUAGCAGGUGUUAAUGCGAGUGUAGCGAAAUGCUUGUGCUUCUAGUUCCGACAGUGCAGCAAUAUCUAACAUGUAAUCUAACAAUUCCACAACAACUACCUAACAUCAAAUCAAAUUUAUUUAUAUAGCCCUUCUUACAUCAGCUGAUAUCUCUAAGUGCUGUACAGAAACCCAGCCUAAAACCCCAAACAGCAAGCAAUGCAGGUGUAGAAGCACAGUGGCUAGGAAAAACUCCCUAGAAAGGCCAAAACCUAGGAAGAAACCUAGAGAGGAACCAGGCUAUGAGGGGUUGCCAGUCAUCUUCUGGCUGUGGAGAUUAUAACAGAACAUGGCCAAGAUGUUCAAAUGUUCAUAAAUGACCAGCAUGGUCAAAUAAUAAUAAUCAUAGUAGUUGUCGAGAGUGCAACAAGUCAGUAACACAAGAGUAAGUGUCAGUUGGCUUUUUCAUAGACGAUCUUUGAGAGUAUCUCUACCGCCUGGGACAGGUAGCACGUCCGGUGAACAGGUCAGGGGUCCAUAGCCGCAGGCAGAACAGAUGAAACUGGAGCAGCAGCACGGCCAGGUGAACUGGGGACAGCAAGGAGUCAUCAAGCCAGGUAGUCCUGAGGCAUGGUCCUAGGGCUCAGGUCCUCCGAGAGAAAGACAGAAAGAGAGAAUUAGAGAGAGCAUAUUUAAAUUCACACAGGACACCGGAAAAGACAAGAGAAAUACUCCAGAUGUGACAGUGACCCUAGCCCCCCGACACAUAAACUAAUACACACAAAUCUAAGUAAAGGAAUGGAAUAAGAAUAUGUACAUAUAAAUAUAUGGAUGAGCAAUGGCAGAGCGGCAUAGGCAAGAUGCAAUAGAUGUUAUAAAAUACAUUAUAUACGUAUGAGAUGAGUGAUGCAGGAUGUAAACAC